Acanthochromis polyacanthus (spiny chromis) is the source of this 4129-nucleotide long non-coding RNA. RefSeq lists it as uncharacterized. The record is from RefSeq and is a predicted model, not a curated record. The transcript is spliced from 4 exons. Lineage: Eukaryota; Metazoa; Chordata; Actinopteri; Pomacentridae.
CUGCAAACUCACAUCACGUCAUUAGAUCAGGGUUUAGUCUCAUUCUCUGCUCUGGACACCGUCUACUUCCUGAUCCGUUCCUUUGAUGAGCUGAUUACUGGAACACAUGAAGGUUCCGGGUCGUGCUGGACGGAGCAGGAGUACAACCAAGUACAAGUACAACAAGGAUUGGAUGGAUUCUAAAGGCAAGUAUGUGAAGUAAGUAACACACGUAUAAUGUUUCCACUCUGUCCGGAUCAACCCCCAACACUGGCUGUGGAUUCCUGGUGAAGACGCCUGUCUUAUAUUAUCUUAUCUUUGUCUCAUCUGUCCUAGAGACUUCAGGCAUGUAUCAUCAUUAAGACCAGACAUGCCAAAAUAUGGCAAAUAUCAAUCAAAGAUCAUGUAAGUGCCUUACAACAUAUUCAAGGUUAAUGCUACACGCAUUUAAGUUCAUAAUCAUGCAAUAAAAACGAAAAAUUUGUUUGAAAAAAUAAAAAAGUAAAAGCAAUCCACUAAACAUCCAAACACAUUUCAUUAAAAUCAAGUGAACAAAUAAACAAAUAAACACUCUCGCUUCACAUCUGAGCAAAUAGCAAUUAGUUAGAGUAGGAUAACCAACUGACCCUGACCCUUCCCUGCCCAUCUACACACUGUUUGAAUUUCACUACCAGCUACUGUAUAUAAUGCAGGUAGUCUACUAAAUUAUCAAUCACUUUCAAUGUUAGCAGGCAGUCUCUGUCUGAUGUAUCAUCCAUUUUAUCCAGCUGUGUGUUAUCUGUUCCUUGUCCUCCACCCCCUCUACCUCUUCUGUCCCUCUCAACUCCCCUUCCAACAGCAGAUAAAGAGAUCAUUAUACCAUGAUCGUUUUGGUACUAAGAAGAUAUCCCCCACAUCAUCACACAACCAGCAGCCUGAACCGUUGAUACGAGGCAGGAUGGAUCCGUGCUUUAUGGUGUUAGGGUUAGCAAUCCACUCUGAUCUGAUCUGAUCUGUGUUGUUUAUCACAAUGGAACCUGAAGACGUGUGUUGCUCAUUUCAAUGGAAUGUGUUUUUCAGUCCGAGGAACCUCAUGUAAUGUUGAUAAAGGGGCGCCAGUGUCUAGAUUCUGAUGGAUAGGGCCUUUUGGGACCCACAGAGCCUAGGGGCUUGAUCGGAGGGGAUAUCCUGUUUUUACCAAAGACUUUAAACACAAGUUGUGAUCUCAUAAUAUAAAACUGACCGAUGGUCCAUUGUCCAAAACUUAUUAUCAAGUCAGUCAGUGUCAACGGAUGUAUCCUGCACUUCCCGGACGUCUCAGAGAAACCAUUACACGUCUAAUUCUGACCAUCUGAAUGGUCACAUUGGAGAUUCAAUGGAGACUCAUCAGACCAGCACCGUUUUUCCAUCUUCUGUUGUCCAGUUUUGGUGAGUCUGUGUGAAUUAUGGCCUCAGUUUCCUUUUCCUAGCUGACAGGAACCCCUUGUGGUCUUAUGCUGCUAUUGCACAUGGUCUACCUCUGUUAUUGCUGCAUUUUUUCCUUUACAUGCACAUACCACUUAUGUGCCAUUACUGUUUCAACCUCAUGUGUAUAAUAUUCUUUAAAAAAAGUAACUACUGUGUAUAUAGUGUUCUCUGCAUUUUUGCACUGUGUGUUAAUUUGUGCUAAUUUCAAGCAGUAAACGUGUGAACACCCUAACCCUGAAACCCGUGGAUUUAUUAUUAUUUAUUCUUGUACUGCCUUUAUACUUUUUCUCAUUCAGAGCUGCUGUAACGGGGAACUUUCCCCACUGUGAGGUCAAUAAAGUUUAUCUUCUUCAAGGUUGGACGUGUUGUGAUUCAGAGAUGGCGUUCUGCCAGUGGUAUUCAGAGAUGGUUUAACCAGUGGUUAUUUGAGUUCCUGUUGCUUUCUAUCGUCUCCAACCAGUCUGCCCAUUCUCCUCUGACCUUCACAUCAACAAGCUGCUCAUUGGAUGUUUUCUCUUUUUUCAGACCGUUCUCUGUAAACCCUGGAAAUGGUUGUUGGUGAAAAUCCCAGCAGAUCAUCAGAAACUGACCCUAACAACCAUGCCACCUUCAAAGUCCUUAAAUCCCCUUUCUGUCCCAUUCUGAUGCUCCCUUUGAACUUCAUGAAUGAAUGCACUGAGUUGUGGCCAUGGCUGCACUUUCACUUUGCAGAUAGAAGAUCUCCUGGUUUGUGUCCCUCCUGGGCCUUCCUGGGAUCUUUCUGCAUGGAGUUUGCUUUGUGCGAUUUAUAUUUUGUAUUAUAUAACCAUUUGUAUGUUUGUCUCAGUGUGCAGCCCUGUGAUAGACUGUUACCUGUCCAGGUGUACACUAACCCUUCACCCUCAGUGAGCUGGGAUAGACUCCACCACCAAUUGUAACCGUCAUGGGAAUUAAACAGUGUAUAGAUGAUGGGCGGAUGGAUGGAGGUGCUGCCGUGGGAUUGGCUAAUUCGCAAUUUUUGUUAGCAAACAAUUGAUCAGUAGUACCUAAUAAAGUGGCCGAUGAGCGUAGUUAACCCAUCUAAGAACUUAUUCGUGUGUUUUUUUGUUUUUUGUUUGGUCUGUCUUACUUGCGGUAUUUUACAGUUUUUCAUAGAAUGUUUUGAAGGCCUCAUUAAUUUCCAAAGGGGCUGUAGUAACAGCAUUAGUGUUUGUAACUGAUGUUUAACCCAGAAAAACUAUUACUGUUUAAAUAGAAAAGAGCACAUAAUAAUUAAGAUCAGAUUUUCAAAGUCAUUUUAUGUAUAAACACAUGAAAAAUUUGUUUUAUGUUAAAAAAUAUUAUGUGGAUCACAUACAGUUUAAGUUUGAGGUCAUUUAGCUGUCCUCCUAUUGGCUGGUGUCUGAUGCAGUGCUCCUAUUGGCUGGCGUCUGAUGCAGUGCUCCUAUUGGCUGGCGUCUGAUGCAGUGCUCCUAUCGGCUUCCCUGAGUUUUUGAAACUAACUGGACUUUUUCCUGGGACUGUCUGGCACCUCCACAUUCUUUGAAUGGACUUCUGUUUUACAAGUUUUGGAGCAGCAGAAGAUUUUCAGCACGGACCUUGCUAGCCUUGCUGCUAAUUAAGUAGCAUAUUAAGCUCUAUCCUAUGUUCAUUAGCACAAGCUAAUGAACGGGUUAGCAUAAGCUAACCCAGAGGAGCUACUCAGAGUUCCUGUGGACACGCUGGAGGUGAAGGACACGGACCUUUGACGCUCCAGGAGGUCUCCAUCGACAUCAGCUUUUAGCUGCGUGGACACCUGCUGACAGCCUGAUGGACCAAGGAAGGACAUCAUGGAGAAAACAGAGGCAGAUUGUCUCUGGCUGACACCAGACCUUCAAACCAGGUUUGAGCAGACUGGAGCAACCUAACGGUGCCAACGACUAGUCUGCUGGACCUCUGGUCUCUCCUCAGCCUGAUGGACCAAGGAAGGACAUCAUGGAGAAAAAGGAGGCAGAUUGUCUCUGGCUGACACCAGACCUUCAGACCAGGUUUGAGCAGACUGGAGCAACCUAACGGUGCCAACAACUAGUCUGCUGGACCUGGCAGGUAAUAAUUUGAGAGUUGUGAGCAAAGUUAAGUAUCUUGGGCAUUUCAUUACCGACCAGCUGCAGGAUGACCAAGAUACAGUCUACAGUCCUCAUGGAGAUGACAUCGAUGGCCUCACGCAUUGCAUCACAGAUUACAUCAACUUCUGCGUGGACAGCACUGUGCCAACUCGGACGGUACGGUGCUUCUCCAACAACCACCCCUGGGUCACCCCUGAGCUCAAAGCCCUCCUGAACCAGAAGAAAUGGGCUUUCAUCUCAGGGGACAGAGAGGAGCAGAAGAGAGUGCAGCGUGAGCUCCAGUGGCUGAUCAGAAGGGCCAAGAAGGACUAUGGGAAGAGGCUGGAGGAGAAGCUGGUUCAGAACAACGCGCGGGACGUGUGGAGAGGACUUAAGAACAUUUCUGGACAUGGACAGAGUGCCAGAGGGACAGCUGAUGGAGACCAGCGCAGGGCGGACGAGCUGAACUGUUACUUUAACAGAUUUGACUCUCCCCCCACCCCCUCUGCCCCCUUUCCUGCUCCCCCCUCUUCACACAUCCCCAGCCCAGCAGACCCUCCCCUUCCUGCGACACCUUCACCGGCCCCCAACUCACCCACACGGACUACUCCCACCCCCUGCAGGCCACCUCACUCCCCCCU